UAGCAAGAUGGUAUUUCUGGAGCAAUAAGUCAUUUACUGAAUGAUUAUGCAAAGCAUAAAUUGCAUUGUAGUCCUAGAAUAAUACAAAGCUUCCCUUUAGUUGUUGCCGUAAAUUAAUAACUGGCAUUUUAAUGCACUAAAUGAAUUUUAGUAGUUAGAUUUAUAUCUUUGACUUCUAGGAAUUUCAACUACAUUAGAGUUCAUAUACACAAAAGGGGCAAGCCCUUUUCCACAGCAUUUCCAGCUUCUCCACAGAAACCUAGCCCCACAUGAGCAAAAGAUCACACUCUGUGCUUCAUCAAAGAGAUUACACAAUUACAGAUUCCAGCAUCUCCCAGGAGUCCUUUGAAUUUGGAUUAAGGUCUAUAAUUACGUGGGUAAGGGAAUAACUAGGUAAUUGGCUUUCUGCACCUGGAAUGUAUUCUCCUGGGUAUAAGAGGCUCCUUUUAAUCAGAAGUAUAUGGGAUGAAAGUGAACCCUGUCUCUUAAGGGGAGACUCCUUAAGAGGAGGAUUGGGGCCCUGUGUUUUAAUAGAUCUUCUCCACAAUCUUUAAUACCUAAGCUCCUUCCCCUUGUCCACUAAUUUGCUGUAGAAUUUUUCUAGCAUGUUUAUGAUGGUGUUCAGGGCACACUACCCCAAAAUAUAACACCUUGGCAUAUUGAAUGUUUUAAGCUGAUGGAAUUUGAGAAAUGGCAGGUGUGAGGACUCUGACCUUCCCAUGAAGCAGGUCAUAAGACCCUCAUGUGAGAGAUGCCCUCUCUAUACCUGGAGAAAAGAAGCAGUCUUAUUUGUGAAGACAGAGAGACGCCAAGAGGAAUCUAAAUGAAUAGGCCUUGGAACCCCAGACGCACGGGCCUUGUGCUGUCGCUGCCGUGGCACCCCUUCUAGAAGGUAGAUAUUUUUCCUCCUGACAAACACUACAACCUUUAUGAAAAUAUUUCACUCUUUUGCUUUAAUUUCCAUUACUACUAUAAGUGAAAAAAGGAUGAAGAAUUGAAUGAAUAGGAUUGAACCAUCUACUAGGCACUGUGCUUGUAAAUCUAGAUAUGUAUUUUUUUCUAUUUAAUCCUAACAAUAACUCCAUGGGAUAUUUUUCUUAUCCCUAUUUUAUCUGUGAAGAAACUAAUGUUUAUAGAGCUG
RNAcentral lists this long non-coding RNA (1141 nucleotides) under Homo sapiens (human). RNAcentral's name for it is "SEC24B antisense RNA 1". The record is from RNAcentral. Lineage: Eukaryota; Metazoa; Chordata; Mammalia; Primates; Hominidae.